AACGAACGCUGGCGGCAUGCCUAACACAUGCAAGUCGAACGAGACCUUCGGGUCUAGUGGCGCACGGGUGCGUAACGCGUGGGAACCUGCCCUUAGGUUCGGAAUAACUCCCCGAAAGGGGUGCUAAUACCGGAUAAUGUCUUCGGACCAAAGAUUUAUGGCCUCUGGAUGGGCCCGCGUUGGAUUAGCUAGUUGGUAGGGUAAAAGCCUACCAAGGCGACGAUGCCGAGCUGGUCGGAGAGGAUGAUCAGCCACACUGGGACUGCGACACGGCCCAGACUCGGAGGGAGGGGAGCAGUGGGGAAUAUUGGACGAUGGGCGAAAGCCUGAUCCAGCAAUGCCGCGUGAGUGAUGAAGGCCUUAGGAUUGUAAAGCUCUUUUACCCGGGAUGAUAAUGACAGUACCGGGAGAAUAAGCUCCGGCUAACUCCGUG
Molecule: ribosomal RNA, 433 nt
Filed under: uncultured bacterium
Lineage: Bacteria
Description: partial 16S ribosomal RNA
Rfam family: Bacterial small subunit ribosomal RNA
Source: RNAcentral